GACGAACGCUGGCGGCGUGCCUAAUACAUGCAAGUCGAACGAGUGACCCCUCGGUGGCAACACCUUGGGCGAUCUAGUGGCGAACGGGUGAGUAACACGUGAGGAACCUGCCCCGAAGACCGGGAUAACCAGAGGAAACUCUGGCUAAUACCGGAUGCCCUCACCGGACCGCAUGAUCUGGUGAGGAAAUGGAUUCCGCUUCGGGGGGGUCUCGCGGCCUAUCAGCUUGUUGGUGGGGUAACGGCCUACCAAGGCGUCGACGGGUAGCUGGUCUGAGAGGACGAUCAGCCACACUGGGACUGAUACACGGCCCAGACUCCUACGGGAGGGAGCAGUAGGGAAUCUUGCGCAAUGGGCGAAAGCCUGACGCAGCAACGCCGCGUGCGGGAUGAAGGCCUCCGGGUUGUAAACCGCUUUCAGCAGGGACGAAAAUGACGGUACCUGCAGAAGAAGCCCCGGCCAACUACGUGCCAGCCGCCGCGGUAA
Molecule: ribosomal RNA, 486 nt
Filed under: uncultured bacterium
Lineage: Bacteria
Description: partial 16S ribosomal RNA
Rfam family: Bacterial small subunit ribosomal RNA
Source: RNAcentral